RNAcentral lists this long non-coding RNA (874 nucleotides) under Mus musculus (house mouse). RNAcentral's name for it is "RIKEN cDNA E230029C05 gene". The record is from RNAcentral. Lineage: Eukaryota; Metazoa; Chordata; Mammalia; Rodentia; Muridae.
GUGCCUUAUAACAUGUCUUUAUAACUGGCUGUGUAAGAAUGAAGAAAAGCUGUCCAUCUUCUGAGAAGGAAGCAGCAUGUGCCAUCCUUCUGUCAGAAAACACCAAAGAGAUGAAGAAAUGAGAAAUCCAGAAACCAAAGACCUUGCUCUUUUGUCAAACAGACUUGGUAGAGCAGAGUUGCAAAAUCAGACCUUUGGGGGCUUGCGUGUUUCUCCUCUUACUCCCUGGUCUCUCAAAAGCUCCCUCUAUGUGUGUCUUGAGCUGACCCAAUAGCUCUGCAGCAGGGUCCCCAUUGGUCACCCUCUAUGGUCCCUGGAUCACAUGCAGAAGCCCUGCCUUGAACUUCAGGCUGCCUGGCUUGGAUCCUGAUGCUGCUUUGCUGACACAAUCCAUUCUCCCAGGGAACACCCAGAGUUCCACUCCAGCCCUGGCAACGCUGCAGCAGAGGCCAACUGUACGGAAAGUCUACAUUGGCUCGGAACAAUUGAGGCUGGGAGAGGCUGGUGAUUUCCUGCUUGGUCGUCUUUUAAAACCCAGCCAUCUGAAUCCGAGAGUUGCUUCUUCAGCAAGGCCUCCCCUGACUCCUUCAGAUGUCUAAGCACCACCCCUACUCUUCUGCUGCAGCAUCUCCACUUGCUUUUGUCCUUCAUCUCCCUGAAAUUAUUUGCUUACUCAUCCAUCCAUGUCAGUUGCAAAAGCAUGACUUCCUCUAGUCCAAAGGCCAUUCAUGUUCAAUAUGUUAGCACUCGGAGCGUCUCCAGUGGUUGUUUCAAACAAGGCAAAUGAGUUCAGUUGAACUUUAUAUGUUCUGCCCUCCGACUGUGACUGUUAUUUACUUCCCUCCAAACAAAAUGUAAUAAUAAAAUGACUAAC